Molecule: ribosomal RNA, 468 nt
Filed under: uncultured bacterium
Lineage: Bacteria
Description: partial 16S ribosomal RNA
Rfam family: Bacterial small subunit ribosomal RNA
Source: RNAcentral
GACGAACGCUGGCGGCGUGCUUAACACAUGCAAGUCGAACGGAAAGGCCUUGCUUUUGUGGGGUGCUCGGGUGGCGAACGUGUGAGUCACACGUGAGUAACCUGCCUUUGCCUUUGGGAUCUCUUCUGGAAACUUGGGCUACUACCGGAUAUGAGCUCCUGCUGCACGGUGGGGGUUGGAAAGUUUCGGCGGGUGGGGAUGUACUCGCGGCUUAUCGGCUUGCUGGUGGGGUAGUGGCUUACCAAGUCUCUUACGGGUAGCCGGCCUGAGAGGGUGACCGGCCACACUGGGAAGGAGAUACGGCGCGGAAGCAGAGGGGAGGCAGCAGUGGUGAAUAUUGGACAGAGGGAGGAAGCCUGAGGCAGCAACGCCGCGUUCGGGAUGACAGCCUUCGGGUUGUAAACCGGAAGCGACUGGGACGGAGCGGGAGUGACGGUAAUGGGAAAAGAAGCACCGGCUAACUACGUG